This 560-nucleotide ribosomal RNA is filed under the name uncultured bacterium. RNAcentral describes it as "bacterial SSU rRNA". It matches the Rfam family "Bacterial small subunit ribosomal RNA", at positions 776 to 1327 of the family's 1533-position model. The record is from RNAcentral.
AAAUAGAUACCCCCGGGUAGUCCACGCCGUAAAACGAAUGAGUGCUAAGUGUUGGGGGGGUUUCCGCCCCUCAGUGCUGCAGCUAACGCAUUAAGCACUCCGCCUGGGGAGUACGGUCGCAAGACUGAAACUCAAAGGAAUUGACGGGGGCCCGCACAAGCGGUGGAGCAUGUGGUUUAAUUCGAAGCAACGCGAAGAACCUUACCAGGUCUUGACAUCCCGGGUGACCACUAUGGAGACAUAGUUUCCCCUUCGGGGGCAACGGUGACAGGUGGUGCAUGGUUGUCGUCAGCUCGUGUCGUGAGAUGUUGGGUUAAGUCCCGCAACGAGCGCAACCCUUAUUCUUAGUUGCCAUCAUUCAGUUGGGCACUCUAAGGAGACUGCCGGUGAUAAACCGGAGGAAGGUGGGGAUGACGUCAAAUCAUCAUGCCCCUUAUGACCUGGGCUACACACGUGCUACAAUGGACGGUACAAACGGUUGCCAACCCGCGAGGGGGAGCGUAAUCCGAUAAAACCGUUCUCAGUUCGGAUUGUAGGCUGCAACUCGCCUACAUGGAACG